RNAcentral lists this ribosomal RNA (236 nucleotides) under uncultured bacterium. Its description in RNAcentral is "partial 16S ribosomal RNA". It matches the Rfam family "Bacterial small subunit ribosomal RNA", at positions 524 to 758 of the family's 1533-position model. The record is from RNAcentral.
UACGUAGGGGGCUAGCGUUGUCCGGAAUCAUUGGGCGUAAAGAGCGUGUAGGCGGCCCGGUAAGUCCGCUGUAAAAGUCAAAGGCUCAACCUUUGAAUGUCAGUGGAUACUGCCGGGCUAGAGUCCGGAAGAGGCGAGUGGAACUCCUGGUGUAGCGGUGGAAUGCGCAGAUAUCAGGAAGAACACCAACGGCGAAGGCAGCUCGCUGGGGACGGUACUGACGCUGAGACGCGAAA